GUGCUCGCUUCGGCAGCACACACAGAAAACGGGAACGAUGCCGAGAUCAGCGUGGCCCCUGUGCUAGGAUGACAUGCAAAUUUGUGAAGGAACUGAGAUAAAA
Lutra lutra (Eurasian river otter) is the source of this 103-nucleotide small nuclear RNA. The record is from RefSeq and is a predicted model, not a curated record. NCBI's taxonomy places the organism in Eukaryota, Metazoa, Chordata, Mammalia, Carnivora, Mustelidae.